This 155-nucleotide ribosomal RNA is filed under the name Tovomita fructipendula. Its description in RNAcentral is "5.8S ribosomal RNA". The stretch from base 45 to 155 matches the Rfam family "5.8S ribosomal RNA", at positions 1 to 111 of the family's 154-position model. From Rfam's summary of the family: 5.8S ribosomal RNA (5.8S rRNA) is a component of the large subunit of the eukaryotic ribosome. Lineage: Eukaryota; Viridiplantae; Streptophyta; Magnoliopsida; Malpighiales; Clusiaceae. The record is from RNAcentral.
GGUGCGUGCGUCGGGGGUCGGUUCCUUCUGGUCGUAAACAAAACGACUCUCGGCAACGGAUAUCUCGGCUCUCGCAUCGAUGAAGAACGUAGCGAAAUGCGAUACUUGGUGUGAAUUGCAGAAUCCCGUGAACCAUCGAGUCUUUGAACGCAAGU